UAUAAUGCAGUCGUACGCUUCUUUUUCCACCGGAGCUUGCUCCACCGGAAAAAGAAGAGUGGCGAACGGGUGAGUAACACGUGGGUAACCUGCCCAUCAGAAGGGGAUAACACUUGGAAACAGGUGCUAAUACCGUAUAACAAUCGAAACCGCAUGGUUUUGAUUUGAAAGGCGCUUUCGGGUGUCGCUGAUGGAUGGACCCGCGGUGCAUUAGCUAGUUGGUGAGGUAACGGCUCACCAAGGCCACGAUGCAUAGCCGACCUGAGAGGGUGAUCGGCCACACUGGGACUGAGACACGGCCCAGACUCCUACGGGAGGCAGCAGUAGGGAAUCUUCCGCAAUGGACGAAAGUCUGACGGAGCAACGCCGCGUGAGUGAUGAAGGCUUUCGGGUCGUAAAACUCUGUUGUUAGAGAAGAACAAGGAUGAGAGUAACUGUUCAUCCCUUGACGGUAUCUAACCAGAAAGCCACGGCUAACUACGUGCCAGCAGCCGCGGUAAUACGUAGGUGGCAAGCGUUGUCCGGAUUUAUUGGGCGUAAAGCGAGCGCAGGCGGUUUCUUAAGUCUGAUGUGAAAGCCCCCGGCUCAACCGGGGAGGGUCAUUGGAAACUGGGAGACUUGAGUGCAGAAGAGGAGAGUGGAAUUCCAUGUGUAGCGGUGAAAUGCGUAGAUAUAUGGAGGAACACCAGUGGCGAAGGCGGCUCUCUGGUCUGUAACUGACGCUGAGGCUCGAAAGCGUGGGGAGCAAACAGGAUUAGAUACCCUGGUAGUCCACGCCGUAAACGAUGAGUGCUAAGUGUUGGAGGGUUUCCGCCCUUCAGUGCUGCAGCUAACGCAUUAAGCACUCCGC
RNAcentral lists this ribosomal RNA (850 nucleotides) under uncultured Enterococcus sp. RNAcentral describes it as "bacterial SSU rRNA". It matches the Rfam family "Bacterial small subunit ribosomal RNA", at positions 52 to 872 of the family's 1533-position model. The record is from RNAcentral. Lineage: Bacteria; Bacillati; Bacillota; Bacilli; Lactobacillales; Enterococcaceae.